Molecule: ribosomal RNA, 539 nt
Filed under: uncultured Fibrobacteres/Acidobacteria group bacterium
Lineage: Bacteria; Pseudomonadati
Description: bacterial SSU rRNA
Rfam family: Bacterial small subunit ribosomal RNA
Source: RNAcentral
AAUACCGCAUAAUACCCACGGGUCAAAGGAGCAAUUCGCUUCAGGAGGGGGUCGCGGCCGAUUAGUUAGUUGGCGGGGUAAUGGCCCACCAAGACGAUGAUCUGUAUCCGGCCUGAGAGGGCGCACGGACACACUGGAACUGAAACACGGUCCAGACUCCUACGGGAGGCAGCAGUGGGGAAUUUUGCGCAAUGGGGGAAACCCUGACGCAGCAACGCCGCGUGGAGGAUGAAAUCCCUUGGGAUGUAAACUCCUUUCGAUCGGGAAGAUAAUGACGGUACCGGGAGAAGAAGCCCCGGCUAACUUCGUGCCAGCAGCCGCGGUAAUACGAGGGGGGCAAGCGUUGUUCGGAUUUAUUGGGCGUAAAGGGUGCGUAGGCGGUUUGGCAAGUCUUAUGUGAAAUCUAUGGGCUCAACCCAUAGUCUGCAUAAGAAACUGCCGGGCUUGAGUAUGGGAGAGGUGAGUGGAAUUUCCGGUGUAGCGGUGAAAUGCGUAGAUAUCGGAAGGAACACCUGUGGCGAAGCGGCUCACUGGACCAU